CUGAGACCACAACCUGAGCCAAAAUCAAGAGGCAGACGCUCAACUGACUGCGCCACCCAGGCGCCCCUGGGUCAGCUUUUCUAAGGGGAAUUAUGGAAAGGUGUCUUGCCCUGCAAAGCUGAUCAAUAAGCAGACAAAAGCAGAACACAAGCCAUCUGCGUUGUAGACUGUGUGGGUUCUGUUCAUGCCAAAUGCUUCUCCAAGCCUUCCCAAACACCUGGGAUUAAACAGGUUGAAGUCCCCCUCCCCCAUAUGACCCCAGCCAGGGUGUGGCAAAGCCCAGCAGCGCUCCUUCCAGACAUUCUGAUCUUCCUCACCGCACUGGCUGUGGGACAGCUCGGCUUUGUGGUUUUACUGAACCCCAACCUGCUCGCCUCAGGGCUCUCGGGUCCUUCACCGGGAGCCAGAGCACUUGCGACCUGGCAGGGAAUAGAAAACAAAGCCUGCCCUGACCCAGACGGGAGAAGGAGGUGUGCAGCAGGAAACGGCUGCCCUUACCGGUGGUCUGAACCCAGGGGAGUUUGCCUCACGGAAUCACACUUAAUGAGCUGCCACCUCUGGGACCUGCUGCUUCGUGUCUGACCCCCCAGGUCAGACUGAAAAAUGACUGUGAGCCCUUUUCUGUUUUCGCAUCCCUGGGAUCACGCUGAGCGCACAGGGAUGCUCAGAGAGAAGCCACAUUCGCUCUGUGUCACCUUCGGGUUAAAAGUACUUUCAAAGCCACGCUCUGGGAUGGCCUGCUUUGUACUUACCAAAUAGCAGGCUUCGCAGAGUCAAAUGACAAGAGGGGUCAGUUGAAAAUCUAACCUUAUCAGGGACCUGGUUGCCAAGGGACCUUUCCAUGCAGAUUGCAGAUAACUAACUCAGCGGAGAGCUGAGACUGAGAAAGGAAUUCAGGUAAGGAAAAUCUUCCUGCUGAUUCAGAAAAAGGCAGUCUCAAGUUUAGAAUAUUCUGGAAAUUCCACACGUUACUAUAAUUUACUCUCCUUCUCUCUCUCCCUGCAGACUACAAGGAAACAGGGCUAAGACUCAAACAAAAACACAAGAAACCAAAGCCUUCUUCUGAGAAGUUGUAAGAGGCCAGGAGAGGUCCUUAAUUAAACAUCAGAGAUCAAGGCGGGAGAAAAGCUCCCGACCAGGGCUCUUGACAGAUCCCAUCAGAUUUGGCACACAGCUAAGAAAGUUUAAUCAGGGUCGAUGAAUUCUGCCCGAGCCGCAGGCGGACCAGGAUUACAUGAGCUAAAGGACAGCAGCACUAGUAACGCAGAUGCCAGUUCAUGCCUCGGUGCCGCCAUUUCUUUGCGUUGAACCCCAACCGCAUAGCCUAUUUAAAUAUAUUUUUUCUUCUUUGUUCUUGAUUAUUUUAACAAAAAGCUCUAUUUUAACUUACUGAAAGAACACCAAUGCCAUUAGAAAAGCACACUUCAGGUGCGCCUGGGUGACUCGCUUGGUUAAGUGUCUGCCUUCGGCUCAGGUCAUGAUCCCAGGGUCCUGGGAUCGAGCCCCGCGUUGGGCUCCCUGCUCAGCAGGGAGUCUGCUUCUCCCUCUGCCUCUCCCCUGCUUCGUUCUCUUUCUCUCAUUCUCUCUUUCUCAAAAAAAAUAAAUAAAAUCUUUUAAAAAAGGAAAAGAAAAGCACACGUCAGUUCCUAACGCUUUCAGGCAACCAUGCAAUUCAAGCCCAGCUAUCUGGUGACCGGUUUGUUGUAAGCACAGGCGAGGGACCUCAGAGGACCCAGAUGAUGCCUGAGGUACUGGUGAUGUGAACCCACGGAGCUCUGGUAAGUGCUCUGAUGCUUGACCAAUACUUAUGAAGAAACCCCACCCAGGAAGGGACUAGAUGUAAAAGCCUGAAAACACCGACAGCCAAUGUUCUAACGACAAGUGAAUGAGCAGUGAGGGGGGAUGAGACCCAGCGUUACCCUGGGGCGAUGCUCGUGAGCUUGGGCAACAGUGGGGGUAAAGGGUCCAGGCCGAAGGGCCAGCGGGAGGCCCGAGACUGCGGGCAGAUCCCGCUCCCCCGGCUCCAUUUGUUUAGAUGGAAGGGAUGACGGGAAUGUCCCCUCAAAUCCUCAGCUACACAAACCACUCCACCUUCAGCGGGGGGCAAAGAUGUCCCGAGCCCUGUGAGGCGGGACCCCGUGGAGCGAGAUUCUUGGGGCGCUGAGAUACCCUGGGGCAAUUCCUUUGGCUCCAAGAGGUAGGAAAGGAAACACUGGGGUCCCGACAAAGAGAUCGCAAAGCACCCUGUGUCCGAAGCGCUUAUACCCGUGUGCCCCCCACAUUUCCGGCCCUCGGCUCCAUGAGGCUCUUCGCGUGGCUGAGAGCAGAGCUGCCAGGUGCUGUCUCCGGACUGAAGCCUGGAGGAGGGGCCUCGGACAUACCGGCUCUCUCUGUGUCGCCCCGGUGGCCGCAGAGGCCACACGCGGACAUGCCAGGGCAGGACGUGGAGCAGAGCUCCCCCGCCAGCCCGAGUCACACCCUAACAAGCCUGCUAGGGAUUCCUACAGGGUAGCCCUGUCAGGCCUACCCGACACAUCCCACACGCCUGGUUCCUGGUCAGUCCCGGCAGUCAGGCUAGAAGGCCACAGAGCCUCUCCCCGUGAUUCUGGGGGGACCUUGAAGAAAUCGCUCCUCUGCUCUGGGUAUCAUUUCCUCAUGGGGAAACUUAAGAGUUGGGUGAAACCGCUGCUUGAAAGGUGUGCAUAUUUUAAGGCCUUUGGAACACAUUCCUCAAGCAGCCUCCAGGAAAGACAUUCUGCUGGCAGUAAGGUGGGUGCCAGCCGCCUUGACCUUGACCUGAAAAUGCAGGACAAGCAAAUAGAGAGGCUGUGAGUUGGGGUGGAGUUUGUCAUGUCAGUUUGACAAAUAUUUUCCAGCCCCCAGGCUGGGUGUGGGCAUGCAGAGGUGGACAGACACGUCCCUGCCCUUGGGGAGCUCUGUCUGCUGGGAUAGACAGAACACUGUCUAGAGGCGUGGGCAAAGCUGGGGCUCCCUUGAAAGCUACAAGCAGGUUUUGAGCUGGAAAGUGUCUUUCCUGAGUCCUUUCUCUUUGAGGCACCACACUCACUUCUACGGAGUCCCCCAGAUUCCACCAGUUGUCAUCAGCUUACCUGGCUCUCAAGGGACAGCGACGUUUUUUGGUUGUACAUCAGCUGACACGACUUUCUGCCACCUUCCUUGUCCCAGCCACUUUCCUUUAGCCGUGGGGGAGUUUCUAUGGUGCUUGUUGGUAUCUGCCCAGCUCCCUACCUGGCCUUCUCAGGUGCACGGGUAGGAAAGCCAUCACAGCGGCCUCAUCUGGGGAGCCUAACAGUAGGUAUCCAAGGCCUUAAAAUAGGCAUACCUGCUCGCCCAGGCUUUAGGAACGAUCCUAAGGAAGUAAGCGUGAAUAUGUGAAAGAUUUAUCUACAAGAUUAUGCGUGAGAGCCUUGUUUAUGAGAUGGGAAAAAAAAAUCAUCAAAAAGGAUUUAAAUUUUCAACCAUAAGAGAUAGGUUAAAUAAUUUAUGGCAUAGGUUGCACAAUGCUAGCAUCAUAAAUUACAUUAUGGAAGAAUACUUAACGACAUGAAAAGAAAGUUGAAGACAAUUGAAAAUAUUACAUUGCAAAAUAAUAUGCCUUGGUUGAUCGUAUUCAUGAUAGCAAAAAGUAUCUGUGCACAUCUAGCAAGACACAAGAAAGAGGGAAAAGUCAUGCAUAAAAAAUAUAGAACAUUGGUGAUUCCAGGGUAGGGGAAUUAUAAGAAAUUUAAAGUAUCUUCUCUGGAUGUUUUCUAGACUUGUUCAUUACUUGUAUAAUCAGAGUAAAAGAUACUUUAUGUUUUCAAGUGUAAUAAAGUGACAUCUUCCUGGGCACAGGACAAGACAUGCCCAGGCAGGGGCCAGGUGCUAGGGAGCCACAUUUCUGGGAGCAGGCCCAGCCCAGGAGGGUCCUCCAGAGCUCCCGGGUGCUAGACCAUGCUGCUUAGCGGUGCCACGCAGCAACCCCACUCACGCAACGUCCUGCAGAAAUGUGCUUGGCAGCCAUGCCUCAGCCCUGGGCACACAGGUCUUCCCGCCCUUCAGCCUCACGACAGGCCACGAUGGAACAAACCAGGACUCGGGCCCGCGAGCCCCAUCAAGGCAGAAUGCAUGGAUUUUCUGGUCACUUUGUUCCAUUCAGCUGAGCAAGCACAUUUGAACUCCUCUCCCCAACUGCUCAGCCCGUACAAACCCGGAGCCUUCUUCAGGGAGCCUUCCAGACUGACCCCACCCCACUGUGCAGCGUGCUCUGAAUGGCCCUGCGCUCGUUAAUAAGUACUAUUUGUAGAGUGGUAUCCGAGUGCUUUGCCUGAAGGAGCACAAGCUGCGCUCACAACAUCCCUGUGAGCCGGCACUGCAAUGCUCUCGUCACAAACCAGGAGGCAGGGGUAGACGGAGGCUGAGUGACUUACCCCAAAGCCCGUGCUAAUAAAUGGCAGAGUCAGGAUUCAACCCCGGGCGGUGUGGCCCUCAGGCCAGCCCUCAGAGACACCAUGCCACACAGGCCCUCUGGCAGACAAUCGAUGUCGCCAGUCAUGUUUCCAUGGUGAUUUUGAAUUGUUCCAGAUUGUUCCUGGAAGACUGAAUUCCUCAAGGGUCCCUGAGGAGGUGCUGCACGCCCAGCAUAAUUGCUACUCUAACGGCAGGGGAAGGGGGCGUGUCCCCCUGAGCCAACCUCCAGCUGCUGGAGACAGGUCUACAGACGAUUCUGCAAGGAGCCUGGUAAGGCACCUCCUUCAGGGACCGACCCCUGCGCUGAAGACCCUGGAAGCCUCAGGGUGCAUCCGUGCUCAGCCUUCUGCCGGGCCCGAAGGCUUCUUACUGUCUCUCAGCAGCAUGUUCCCAAACGCCUGUUCAGUCCCCAGGUUCCUGCGGAGGGUCCAGAUCUACACAGGAUUGUAGCCCAAGUCCUUCCACUCCAGCUGGGAGGAGAGAUUCGGGGAGAGAAAGAGCACGCAGCCCAGAGCGCAAGCCUGUUGGAGUCGACCUCUUGGCUGUCAUUUCUUUCUUCAGAGUUUCCAGGCUGGAUUCCAGCCCAGGAUGGGAGAGGCUGUUACCACGUCUGGGCAAAUCAGCACAACCAUAUUAACAGGGUUAUCUCAGCGUGGCAGGGAUUAGGGAUGGCUUUUUUCGUGGCUUUGCUUCUUUGCAUUUUCUGAUUUUCUGCAGUGAACAUGAUUAUUUGGGCAAUUAAAUAAUUAAAGGCAGGGGGCAGUGGCGGUUCUGUUCUUACUGCGCCCUUCCCAGGGCUCUUCCCCUGACCCUCUGUAGACUGCUGAGCUCCAGGACACCCUCUACUUUGUGGGGCUUCCUCCAAGCUUCUCCUGACCUUUACCCCAGCAACCCCUAUUCUUUCACACACACACGCCCCCACUGCACACCACGGGAACCUUAUAGGUUACAGAGUAUUUCACAGUUUCCAGCCUCCUGCUCCCCACAACCCCCAUGUCUUUCCUGUCUUUGAAGAUGAUGCCUGGAACCACGUGUCCAUCCUUGGCCCCUCACGUGGACUUCAGCCCCCAAUUCACUGCCAGACAUCUGCAACCGGAUGUCCCAACAGUCACGGUCACAAGCACCAUGGCCCCAGCCUGCUCUCUCCCCUCCACGCCCGGGUACCUCCCAUUCUCCUCUUCUCUGACCGCAAUCACUAACUGGUAGGCUUAUGGAAUCAAGGCUGCUUUUUCCUCCUGGGGUUGGUCAUUCAGUGAACAGGGAGGGCUGGUGUUCUGGUCUUCAAAAUGUCUCUUGGGUCUUCUCCUGUCACCCCACACCCCACACAGGCUCCAGAACUAUUGCAGAGGUCCAAGAAUCUUAUUCAUUUUUUCAUCUCCGGGAUCCCCCACAGGGCCCAGCAUAUGUAUGCUGUCUGUAUGUGCUUCCUGGUUAAGUGAAUAAAUGAACAAAUGGGAAAAAAAAAUCUUUUCUAAUUUGUCUCCUCAAUUUUAGUUUUUUCCUUGCAAUCCUUCCUAUAUUUCUCUGCCAGUUGAAUCUCCCCACAUGGUGACUCGGCCAUGUGAACCCUUCACGUGCUGCCUUUAAUGGCUCCCAUUCUAUCAAGGUCCUCUCAAAAUCCAGCCCCUCUUUACCUUCCUUUGUAAAGGAUUUGAUCUCUCUCCCUGAGUCUCUCCUCCAGCUGACCUGGCCUUCAGAUGCGAUCCCAUGGAAGGUAGCAGACCUCGUGGUGGGCUGUUUGUCCACCUGGGACACUGUCUGGCUCUCCAGCCCUGCUUCACUUCACCCCAACCUGCAAGAGGGCACCACCAGGGGCUCUGCAAAGCACUGGGCUCUGUGAGGCCACCUUCAGACCCAGCGCACCCUUGCCAGCUGGCAGCUCUUGGCUGACAUCAGCACAGAACUACAGGGGACACCUUGACUGACAGCUGUGGCAUCCAAUGACACCACUUGCUGGGCAAGUCCUUUGAUGAUUCUAAAGCUCAGGCCUGUAACACAGAAAUGAGACCCGCCCCACCUCUUUCUGUGGGUUGCUGUCAAAAUCAAAUGGGAUCAUGGAAGUGCUUUGAAAAAGAAAAAGCAAUAUUCAAAUAUAAAAUGCUAGAUUACCUUUUUUUUUUGUGAAGGUUGUCAGGGCUCAAACAAAAAAGAUUUUUCAGUUUUACCAUUUAAUAAUAAAUCAAGUCUAUCAGAAGCUUGAUAACACACCAGAGCUGGAUACAGCAAGCGCUAUCUCUUGUGUACCCAAGAGCCAUUUCUACUCUCCUUCCAAGCUCAUGGAACCCUAAUUCUUUCAGGUAAGGACAGAGCUUUCCUUCACCCACCUUGAUCUGCCUCAGCCCCAGGGGGAGACUUAUGAUUGGUCUAAAUCAGUAUGGCAAUCACAUUCUACUAUGCCAGUCAUUGGUCUAGGGGUGGGCGCAAGUCCCAGUUCUGGUCAAUGAGAAAUAAGGGAAAAUGUGACUUCCCUGCCCCAACUUGAAACAGAAUUUCAAGAAAAGAAAACCUUUUGCCUCUGUCUUACUGGGCAAUCAUGUGAGGACAUGAUGCCUGAAGGGGUAGGAUCCAUCUUGCAACUGUGAAGCAAUAAAGCAGAAGGACACAAUGGAAGAAUAGACGAUCAGAGGGAGCAGGAUUCUCUCCUCCUCCUCCUCCUUCUUCUUAAGUUUUCCUUCUGGAUUUUAUUACAGAGUCAAACAAAGCACAGUCAGAUGAGGAAAUGGAACAUUUAUGUGUGAAUGUCUUAGCCAGAAAAACUGUAACUCAACCAACAAAAUAUGUUCAUACAUACAUCUCUGCAUCUGUGAUCCAGGCACGUUUACAAGGAGCAGGAGCCUUGAUGACGUCACUGAGCUACUACGGCACCUGCCCUCCUCCAGGCUUCUGGUUAUGAGAGAUAACCAAACGCUGUUCAUGCGGAAGUCCCUGUUACUUGUAGCCAUUUGCAUAUGUAAAUUGUGCAGUCUCUACAGAAUGUAACUUGGCCAUGUAUUUGUAUUUGAAUGUACAUCCCCUCUGACUCAACAGUGCUGCCACGGAAUUAUCAGAAUUUCUCCCACAGACAUACUCACACAUAGUCAUCUCUGCACCCAACGUGGGGCUCGAACUCACAACCCCGGGAUCAAGAGUCGUGCGCUCCACCGACUGACCCAGCCAGAAGCCCUGUAAUUGGAUUCUUUCCAGUUCACAAAAUAGAAUUAUUUUCCUGCAUCAUUAAAUAUUAUC
Long non-coding RNA from Ailuropoda melanoleuca (giant panda), 7695 nucleotides. RefSeq lists it as uncharacterized. Lineage: Eukaryota; Metazoa; Chordata; Mammalia; Carnivora; Ursidae. The transcript is spliced from 4 exons. The record is from RefSeq and is a predicted model, not a curated record.